UACGUAGGGUGCAAGCGUUGUCCGGAAUUAUUGGGCGUAAAGAGCUCGUAGGCGGUCUGUCGCGUCGGAUGUGAAAACUCGGGGCUCAACCCCGGGCCUGCAUUCGAUACGGGCAGACUAGAGUUCGGCAGGGGAGAACGGAAUUCCCGGUGUAGCGGUGAAAUGCGCAGAUAUCGGGAGGAACACCGGUGGCGAAGGCGGUUCUCUGGGCCUGUACUGACGCUGAGGAGCGAAAGCGUGGGGAGCGAACAGG
This 253-nucleotide ribosomal RNA is filed under the name uncultured bacterium. RNAcentral describes it as "partial 16S ribosomal RNA". It matches the Rfam family "Bacterial small subunit ribosomal RNA", at positions 524 to 776 of the family's 1533-position model. The record is from RNAcentral.